Molecule: long non-coding RNA, 1244 nt
Filed under: Chrysolophus pictus (golden pheasant)
Lineage: Eukaryota; Metazoa; Chordata; Aves; Galliformes; Phasianidae
Description: lncRNA (ENSCPIG00010008634.1)
Source: RNAcentral
GUGGGGACACGGGGUGGCAUUUGGGGUCUAUGGGGACAUGGGGUGGCAUUUGGGGUCACAGGAAAGCCAUGGGGUGGCACUUUUGGGACAUGGGGUGUCAUUUUUGGGAUCUGUGGGGACACAGGGUGGCAUUUGGGGACAUGGGUGGCACUUUUGGGAUCUAUGGGGACACAGGGUGGCAUUUGGGGUCACAGGAAAGCCAUUGGGUGGCAUUUGGGGACACAGGUGGCACUUUUGGGAUCUAUGGGGACAUGGGGUGGCAUUUAGGGUCGUGGGGACACGGGGUGGCAUUUGGGGACAUGGGGUCUAUGGGGACAUGUGGGGACAUUUGGGGACAUGGGGUGGCAGUGGGGUCGCUCUGGGGACAUUUGGGGACAUUUGGGGACAUUUGGGGACGCGUUGCUGUUGUCCCCCCCCCCACAGGUGUUCAUCUUCAUCGGGGAGACGCUGCUGUCCCUCAACUGGGCCAUCGUGGCCGACAUCCUGCUGGUCAGUGGGGACAGCUGGGGACAUUUGGGGACUUUGGGGACUUUGGGGACAUCGGGGACGAUAGGGACAAUUGGGGACAUCUGGGGACAUUUGGGGACAAUGGGGACAUUUGGGGACAUCUGGGGACUUUGGGGACAUUGGGGACUUUGGGGUCUUUGGGGAUAUUGGGGACAGUGGGGACAAUGGGGACAGCUGGGGACAAUUGGGGACAAUGGGGACAUUUGGGGACAUCUGGGGACUUUGGGGACAAUUGGGGACAUUUGGGGUCUUUGGGGACAUCUGGGGACACUGGGGACAGUAGGGACAGUAGGGACAUUGGGAACUUUGGGGACAGCUGGGGACAUCUGGGGACAUUUGGGGACUUUGGGGACUUUGGGGUCUUUGGGGACAUUGGGGACUUUGGGGACUGUCCCCCUGUCCCCAACUGUCCCCAUGUCCCCCUAUCCCCCAACUGUCCCCAAUUGUCCCCACCUGUCCCCCCGUGUCCCCAUGUCUCCCCAACUGUCCCCAACUGUCCCCUGUCCCCAAUUGUCCCCAUGUCCCCGUAUCCUCCCACUGUCCCCUGUCCCCAAUUGUCCCCCAUGUCCCCAACUGUCCCUCUGUCCCCCAAUUGUCCCCCUGUCCCCAAUUGUCCCCAUGUCCCCUAUCCCCAAAUGUCCCCAAUUGUCCCCCUGUCCCCAAUUGUCCCCCUGUCCCCCUAUCCCCCCAUUGUCCCCCUGUCNNNNNNNNNNNNNNNNNNNNNNNNNNNNNNNNNN